Molecule: small RNA, 3481 nt
Filed under: Histoplasma capsulatum
Lineage: Eukaryota; Fungi; Ascomycota; Eurotiomycetes; Onygenales; Ajellomycetaceae
Also listed under: 1 other name
Description: hypothetical RNA
Source: RNAcentral
CAACGUCGCCUCAUCGCUUCAUCUCACCUCCACCUCACCUCUUUUCUUAUUGACUUCUUCUCUCUCCUUCUUCUUCUUCUUAUUCCCAUCUCUCUUCCAGGUUGUCUCUUUUGUCACGACAACCUUCUUGACGACCAUCUACCUCUACCUACAAUAGUCGCUUCCGUCGUCUUCCGCUCACUUGUUUUCGUUUUUCUAUCGUUCCCGCUUUCCAACUUGUGGGAACACCAUCGUUCGUUGCAUCUUCAUCACCAGCUUAUCCGUGCCGUAAUCAACUACUGCCACGUUACUCCGCUCGCUCUUCUGCUCUAUUCGGUCGAUCUUUUACGAAACUCUUCCUCGAUCGUUGACUCGACAACCUUCGUGUGUGGCACAUUGCAUCCAGCAGGCCUAGCCCAGGAACGAUCACUCUCCCUUGAACGAAGUCAAAAUAAUCCCAUCCAUCGAUCCAUCGAUCGAUCCCUCCACUUCGACCUCGUUUCAUCUUUUCGGUUGCAUUGAUAAUAAUAUACAGGACACAGGUGCUCUGGAGUACCUGAUUCCUCUUCGAGCAGAGGGCAUCUCUGUGUUGAAUGCUGCACAUCAUUUAAUCCCCUUCGCUUCCUCCCCCCAAAUUCACCAUGAAGCCCCUCGCAAUUCUCUCAUUUUUCGUCGCCUUCCUCCCACUCACCCCUUAUGUCUCGGCUGUAAAAUUGAUCCGGUCGGAUUCCCUUAUGCCUUGCCAGGACAACUCCAACUUCACCACUAGCUUAUUCAAUAUCCUCCUCACUCCUGACAACAAUACUCUCCAUGUGCAAGUUAUUGGCGUCUCGUCAAUUACCGGCUACGUUACCGCAGACGCCCGAGUGUUCGCCUAUGGACACCAAAUAUUGAGGGAGACCCUCAAUCCCUGUACAGUGAAAGGCUUUGAUUUAGAAUCCCUCUGCCCCAUGCAGGCCGGCCCCAUCAAUUACGACUUCAACCUCCCAAAUCUUUCCAAGGACGCACUCGACAAUGUUCCAACUGUUGCAUACGGAGUACCCGAUAUCGAUCUUAAGAUCAGAGUCUAUAUCAAUCAAACCAACACCGACAAAAGCAUUGCUUGUCUAGAAGCCCGACUUUCCAAUGGCAAUACUGUCUAUCAAAAGGCCGUGGGUUGGAUUGUCGCCAUAAUUGCUGGUCUUGGAUUGGUUGCCUCUGCCAUCACAUCUGGGCUAGGCCACUCGAAUACCGCUGCCCAUGUUGCAGCUAAUGCGCUAUCACUAUUUGGGUUCUUCCAAGCCCAGGCCAUGAUCGGAAUGUCCAGUGUCAGUCUCCCACCAAUCGUGCAGUCUUGGACUCAAAACUUCCAGUGGAGCAUGGGCAUCAUCCGUGUCGAAUUUCUACAACGCAUUUGCACUUGGUACCAACGAUCGACUGGUGGCCGGCCAUCGACAGUUUUGUCUACGCUCGGAUCCACUUCCGUUCAUGUGCAGAAGCGCGCCAUUGAAUGGGGCAACAAAAUUAUUUCCAAUGUUCCUAGUCGACUUUUGAAACGGACAAAUAAUGAUAACACUAUCAACGAGAAGGUGACAACCACCAUUGUUCGGGGCAUUGAAAGAGUUGGUUUCCGCGCGAAUAUCGAAAUGACAAACAUCUUCAUGACUGGCUUGAUCUUUUUUGUCUUUUUUGUCGUUCUUGUCCUGGGACUGGUAGCGUUAUUCAAGGGUUAUUGCGAAGUCGCGUCGAAGAAAGGAUGGAUUAAGGGUGGUAAGUUUCAAGAUUUCCGAAACGGAUGGAAGAUUAUCAUGAGAGGCAUUCUGUUCCGCUUGGUACUUAUUGGCUUCCCCCAAAUGUGCAUUCUCUGCCUAUGGGAGCUCACUAGGCGAGAUUCGCCUGCUGAAGUUGUUUUGGCCGUGUUCAUGCUCAUUUCGAUGGCUGCGUCUCUCGGUUUCGCUGCGUUUACUGUCAUUCGCCUGGCCAAGAGGUCGGUGGAGCUCCAUAAAAAUCCAGCUUAUAUCUUAUACUCAGAUCCUGCGGCUUUGAACAAAUGGGGUUUCCUCUAUGUUCAGUACAGGGCAACGGCCUACUACUGCGUCAUCCCCGUCCUAGUCUAUAUUUUGGUCAAGAGCAUGUUCAUUGGGUUGGCACAGCCGGCUCCCCUUGUUCAAGCUGUCGCUCUCCUUAUUAUUGAAGCGGCCGUUUUGAUCGCUGCCAGUGUACUGAGGCCAUGGAUGGACAAAAAAACCAAUAUUUUCAACAUCUCAAUCGCCGCGGUCAACUUCUUCAAUGUCAUCCUUCUCCUCUUCUUCACCCAAGUAUUUAAUCAGCCCGGUCUUGUCACUGGCAUCAUGGGCGUUGUCUUUUUCGUUGUCAAUGCAGUAUUCGCCCUUAUCCUGCUUAUUUUGGUCCUCAUCUCGUCCGUGUAUGCUAUCGUGUCUAAGAAUCCAGAUACGCGAUACCAGCCCAUGAGAGACGACCGCGGAUCCUUUAUUAAAUCCCAGACUCAGCUGACAACCGAGCUCGAUGCUCUUGGAGCGACCGCUCGUGGUGAAACGAAAUCAUUUGAGGACUCGUCCUCGCUAUCCGGCUUUUACCCUAACAGGGCAGAUUCCCCAGCACAAAGCCUACAGCGUCAACAGCCACACUCUCCGCUGGAAUCAUCUAUGCCUUUAUUCCCUGCCGACAGCUCUGCUCGUGGUGCCCCACCUCCAACAUAUCAAACCCAGGCUCCAUACUCUCGAGCACAAAACAUAUCGCCUGCGCCCCGAAACAUUACCACAUCUCCUUUCCCAAGCUCUCCAUCGGCGACUUCGAAUCCGGCUCAAUAUAGGAUGAACAACAACAGUAGUCCAUGGCAACGCGGCGCAGGAUACGAGCAUUGAGGUUUUGGAGAAUGGAUGAUGCUGGCAUUUGCCCUUAUUCCAAAAAAUGAAGAGAUGACCCGGGUCAGCUCUAAGGCUGGGAAAUAGCUUUGUCCUUUUCCUUAUUUUAUUUUCACAAUAACAUAUUCUCGCGGGUUGGACUUGUUUGGCGUUAAUCAUGUUACUUAAAGGCUAUUUUUUAUCUUCCGUUUUACUAUUUUUUAUUUAUCGUAAGCUCUUGCUCUUUGAAUGAACUUGAAACAUUCAAUCCCGUCCUCACCCCACAGAUUAUACACUUAGCUUUCCCUCCUUGCAACCCACUCUACUGAUUUUUGUUUUUCCUAUAUUCUCUUUAGGCGUUCGAUGUGGUAUACAUUUCUGUAAUCUGUGGAAAAGAAACCAAGUUUGUUGCAUAUAUUUUUGUCUCCUUAUUUUUAUCCCGCCUUUCAUUCUUUAAUAUUUAACUUUUCCUUGUUGGUCUCUGUACAAUCUCUUAUUUUUGUAAACUCUUGUUUUCCAAAAGGAAAAAAUUCCUUGAAGCUCAACCACUCUCCUUGUCUUUAUACAUACUGUACAUACAUUUGGAAAUAAUCUUUCAUGUACAUAUGCUCAUUUAAAACCUUAUUUAAAUUUUGAUUUAAUUAUUCUGUCUAAGCGAA